UACGUAGGGUGCAAGCGUUAAUCGGAAUUACUGGGCGUAAAGGGCGCGUAGGCGGAUAGUACAGUCAGGCGUGAAAUUCCUGGGCUCAACCUGGGGGCUGCGUUUGAUACGUAUUGUCUGGAGUUCGGAAGAGGGUCGUGGAAUUCCCAGUGUAGAGGUGAAAUUCGUAGAUAUCGGGAGGAACACCAGUAGCGAAGGCGGCACUCUGGGCCGGUACUGACGCUGAGGAGCGAAAGCGUGGGGAGCGAACAGG
Molecule: ribosomal RNA, 253 nt
Filed under: uncultured bacterium
Lineage: Bacteria
Description: partial 16S ribosomal RNA
Rfam family: Bacterial small subunit ribosomal RNA
Source: RNAcentral